RNAcentral lists this long non-coding RNA (225 nucleotides) under Elaeis guineensis (African oil palm). RNAcentral's name for it is "long non-coding RNA (EGUI_LNC034273)". The record is from RNAcentral. Lineage: Eukaryota; Viridiplantae; Streptophyta; Magnoliopsida; Arecales; Arecaceae.
CAACAUCAAGAGGAGGAAGUCAAAAAGAAAAGAAUCAUUGCCCUCAAAUCCACAGCUCCACCAGAUGAAGAAACUGAUGACACUGAAGAUGAAGAACAGGAUGAAGAGAUGGCACUCAUUACCCGAAGAUUCAAGAAAUUUUUGAGAAAAAAGAAACAGGGGAUGAGGAAGAGGCCAUUCACAAAAGGGGAAUAGAGCAAAGAAAAAGAGAAAGACCAACCCCUU